Prochlorococcus marinus is the source of this 82-nucleotide non-coding RNA. NCBI's taxonomy places the organism in Bacteria, Bacillati, Cyanobacteriota, Cyanophyceae, Synechococcales, Prochlorococcaceae. The record is from Rfam.
GCGGUCGUGGCGGAAUUGGUAGACGCGCGAGUUUUAGGUACUCGUAUCUUCGGGUGUGGGAGUUCAAGUCUCCCCGACCGCA